Molecule: small RNA, 147 nt
Filed under: Arabidopsis thaliana (thale cress)
Lineage: Eukaryota; Viridiplantae; Streptophyta; Magnoliopsida; Brassicales; Brassicaceae
Description: ATSL241690
Source: RNAcentral
AUAUAUUUUAAAAUAUAAAAAAUGUUAAAAUUUAAAGAUGUGUAUAACAUAUUGAACCUAGAACACCGCUUAAGGACCUUAUAUUAUGGACGGGAUGUUGUAUUCAUUUAGUUUACACAUAUUUAAAAUUUAACACUUAAAAACAAA